This 211-nucleotide long non-coding RNA is filed under the name Elaeis guineensis (African oil palm). RNAcentral's name for it is "long non-coding RNA (EGUI_LNC044047)". The record is from RNAcentral. Lineage: Eukaryota; Viridiplantae; Streptophyta; Magnoliopsida; Arecales; Arecaceae.
GCCAUAGCCAUAGAUUUAGAACUCAAUGUCAUAAUCUACAUAGGACUACUCAUCUAUCGAGGUCGAUAAAUCCCAUAUGGUGCGCACCUUAUUCGUACAAUGAACCUACUACAGUCAACAUAUACCUCAAGAGUCCGUAUGGCUAAGAGAUUGAGUUAUGGUAUAGUCAAACUAUAGAGUCUCAUUGUGAACAGCCGAGAUACCGCAGGUC